CACACACAAACCCUAGAAAUUCGACGACUCUACGAUCUUCCUCCGACGAUUGAAUCAUCGUCGUCAACAGGAGCAAACCGCGCCAUCUAACCAUGAAGGACUGAAUCGCCCCGUCUCCUUCCCAAAACGCGCUGACAUCUCCCUAUGAAAACCGUAGUCGACGAUGCUUAGAAUAGCGGUCAGAAGCUACAACAAAAGAUCGACGUAGGAAUCAAACUGAAAACCCUAGACUGAGAAAUACCGCCGAACCAAACGGAAUACGACCGAUUUCAGAUUCAUAGACCCAAUGGUCGGCUUUCGACCAUUAGAGAUGGAGAACGCGAACGGUCGCCAACUCAAACAUCGGCUCUCAGGUUACAACAAAACCAACAACAAUGACUGGGAGAAAAGCAAAAUCCUAAAAGAUUGGGGCUAAAUCAUACAGUCCAAUUUCAAAAAGGUAAAAUUUUUGUGUAAUAUACCAUACUAUGCAACACAAAAAUUGCAAGUCUAAGUUUUUUGUUCAUAAAUAGAUUUAAAAAAUGGAAGAAUUAGGACAUAAUUUUACAAUGGUUUCGUAUAGAAUCAAGCACUAUUUGACUCUUUGAAUCUUUUUCAUACUUCUUCCAUUAAAUUCAAAUUAAAUUGGUUGUUUAUUUGGAAUUAAUGGAUGAUGGCUAUGUAAUGUGCGUUAUAUCGAUGACAAGUUAUGUGAUUGCUUGUCAUAGAUUUGAGAUUUCCCCUGGCAUGAUAUUCCACUGCACUUGGGUAAGUAAGGGAGUAAGUAUAAUAUAAUUGUAAUAUCUUUUUCUUAUAGUUGAUGUUAUCGAGAAUGAGGAUAGCCAAUGAAAAAUAGAACAAGUCAUUAAAAAGCAAACCCUUGGAUGAUUUGGCAAUGAUAGAUGAGGGAGAGCUUGACUGGAAAAUAGUUACCACUUCAUUCGGAUGAUCCAAGGGCUUCCCAAGCUGAGAAGCCUUAUUCUGGAUUAAGUUAUUAGGAAAAGUAGCUUGACUUCUUGUUCCCUGUAAUGCAAAAACAUAACAUAUGCUAACAGAAAUAUAUAUUUAUUCAACUGGUAUUUUACAUUAUUUAAUUUAUUUCCUAGUAAAUUUGGUAGAACAAUAUACAUUAUAAUCAUGGAAUACACACUCUAAACUAUUGAAUUUUAAUCUUCAGGUACAUCUUCAUAAACAUGAGCGCACCAGACUCGGUUGAUGGACCAAGCAAUUGCCUGGCGAAGAUUGUUAAUCUAGGUGAUAAAGGGAGUCAUUACUUAACAAAUGAACCUAUGGAAUAAUCUGAACUCUGAAGAAAAUGAGAUUAUAUGGAAGAUAAGAAACGUCUAUCAAAAUAGAAAGAAAGAGUUUACUUCAGAAAUGUCACUAUGGGAAGAUGUUGUGCAUAAGAAUACUUCAUGGGAACAGAAGAAAUGUCACCCAAAGUUUUCAUAAAAUAGAAGGAAGAUAAUUACUUCAGAAAAGCAAAAUUGGGAUAAAUUGCAUUGGAAACUGAAGAAUGAAUCAGGCACAUGUGCAUUGGAAGAAUCGAAAGUAUAUAUAUAUUGUAAUAGAAUAGGUAUUUUUUUAGAAAAGUCUAUGACACUAACAGUAGGUUACAUCCUAAAAAGCAGCAAAAUCGCGGUUCAUACAAACUGGUCAGACAUAAGCUCCACAAUGACAGAAAAUGGUGCAAAAAAAUCAACUAAUCAGCUGUAAUAUUGCUCAGCUUCCCGCCAAAAAAGGCAAAACUGGCAUUCUAAAAAUUUCCACAAAACUCCCACUUUA
Salvia splendens (bonfire salvia) is the source of this 1764-nucleotide long non-coding RNA. RefSeq lists it as uncharacterized. The transcript has 5 exons. Lineage: Eukaryota; Viridiplantae; Streptophyta; Magnoliopsida; Lamiales; Lamiaceae. The record is from RefSeq and is a predicted model, not a curated record.